UGGAGAUCAUCAGCCUCAUCAGGGUGUGGAAACAAAGGAGAUGCAGAUCCGUCAACCACUGCUGGAGGAUUAACGCUACCGGUUUCAUCAAGGAGAUUUCCUAGUUGGAGUGAUCCCUCUGUUUCCUCCUACCGAGUCUCUUUCCUGCAAGGAACCUGCCUGCCUGCUCCGCCCAUUCCCAGUCAUCAUUAGACUCUAUCUGGACCUUCGGCCCACUUAUCCCCACCAAAACUCCACACGGGAUCCAGGACAACCUUCCCCCUACGGUUCACCUGAACCGCCUUACAAGUAAGCCGCUUCUAUUUGCUUAAGGAGCACUCACCCCAGACCA
This is a long non-coding RNA of Gambusia affinis (western mosquitofish), 331 nucleotides long. RefSeq lists it as uncharacterized. The transcript is spliced from 2 exons. Lineage: Eukaryota; Metazoa; Chordata; Actinopteri; Cyprinodontiformes; Poeciliidae. The record is from RefSeq and is a predicted model, not a curated record.